Molecule: ribosomal RNA, 643 nt
Filed under: uncultured bacterium
Lineage: Bacteria
Description: bacterial SSU rRNA
Rfam family: Bacterial small subunit ribosomal RNA
Source: RNAcentral
CAAAGGGGAUUACCGGUGGCGGAUGGGCAUGCGGCGCAUUAGCUAGUCGGCGGGGUAACGGCCCACCGAGGCGACGAUGCGUAGGGGUUCUGAGAGGAAGGUCCCCCACACUGGUACUGAGACACGGACCAGACUCCUACGGGAGGCAGCAGUGAGGAAUAUUGGUCAAUGGGCGCGAGCCUGAACCAGCCAAGUCGCGUGAGGGAUGACGGUCCUACGGAUUGUAAACCUCUUUUGCCGGGGAGCAAGCGUGCGUUCGUGAACGCGCGUCGAGAGUACCCGGAGAAAAAGCAUCGGCUAACUCCGUGCCAGCAGCCGCGGUAAUGCGGAGGAUGCGAGCGUUAUCCGGAUUUAUUGGGUUUAAAGGGUGCGUAGGCGGGAUGCCAAGUCAGCGGUAAAAAUGCGGUGCUCAACGCCGUCGAGCCGUUGAAACUGGCGUUCUUGAGUGGGCGAGAAGUAUGCGGAAUGCGUGGUGUAGCGGUGAAAUGCAUAGAUAUCACGCAGAACUCCGAUUGCGAAGGCAGCAUACCGGCGCCCUACUGACGCUGAGGCACGAAAGCGUGGGUAUCGAACAGGAUUAGAUACCCUGGUAGUCCACGCAGUAAACGAUGAAUGCUAACUGUCCGGCUCGAAUGAGCGCUGG